Molecule: long non-coding RNA, 474 nt
Filed under: Ursus maritimus (polar bear)
Lineage: Eukaryota; Metazoa; Chordata; Mammalia; Carnivora; Ursidae
Description: lncRNA (ENSUMAG00000023349.1)
Source: RNAcentral
GAUAGCUGGGAGACUGGAUUCCUGGUAAGCCCGGGACCCCACGGGCAGCCCUUCAGGUGUUAUAUCAGAAAUAACUCGGGGAUUCCAGAGCCACCUCCACAGUCUGUCGCAGGAGCUGUGAGCGGGGUAGGACCGGCGUGUCUGACCGGGCGCUCUGAGCGUGCCGCACAAAAUCCCUGCCGCAUGAAGCUCUUGGGGGCUGAUUUGGACCUCAGCCCGCGAGGCCCGAUCUGCGGCCUUGCCAUCCUCUCAGGAAUGAAGCAUCGCCCCCCAGCAGAAGACCUUUUGAAUGGCUCCUUGUGAAUGAACCCAAUCAAGACUUCUGGCAGCAUGUUCAUCCCUGGGAAGAGGGAUGCCAUAGCCCCAUGCUUUACAGAGGAGGAAACUGUGGCAGGGCUCGUCUAGAGCUAGAAUCAGCUCCGACACUAACUGCAGAGUUAGAGGCAAUGCCAGGGUCAGGAGAGGAGCCAGCUG